Molecule: unclassified non-coding RNA, 297 nt
Filed under: soil metagenome
Description: partial contains small subunit ribosomal RNA, internal transcribed spacer 1, and 5.8S ribosomal RNA
Source: RNAcentral
UAACCGUAAGUGAACCUGCGGAAGGAUCAUUAUUGAAUAAACAUUUGAUAGGCUGUUGCUGGCCCUUGUAAGGAAGGGUAGUGUGCACGCUUGUCAUUUAUUUGUUUGUUUUUCCACCUGUGCACCUUUUUGUAGACCUUAGAAUUUGGGGACUGCUGUGCGAGUGCCAGCUUUUCCUUGUCUCUCUCUAGGUUCUAUGUUUUUCACAUACUCCUACGAAUGUAAUAGAAUGUUGAUCUGGGUCUUUGAUGCCCAUAAAGUUAUAUACAACUUUCAGCAAUGGAUCUCUUGGCUCUC